Molecule: long non-coding RNA, 1678 nt
Organism: Gasterosteus aculeatus aculeatus (three-spined stickleback)
Lineage: Eukaryota; Metazoa; Chordata; Actinopteri; Perciformes; Gasterosteidae
Source: Ensembl
GGCUUUAUUUGUUUGGUGCAGUUUGCGGCACAAAGCUGCUCCAGAAUGGAGCUUCUGCCCCCGUCUGGUGCUGCGCACUCCAUCCCUCGCCCUUUAUCAUCCUGCACAUGGGUGACAUAGGACGGAACCAGUGCGGGCUGCUCCAGCUGCAUCUACUUUGUGAGCCCACAGGGAAUGGUGUGUGCCUGUGUGCCUGUGUGUGUGUGUGUGUGUGUGUGUGUGUGUGCGCAUGUGUGUCUGCUCUGACUGCGCACCAAGGCUGCCAGAAAAUAUGGGUAGAACGCAUGAUUGCAGGGCUCUGCACUUGCCUAAGCUGUUCACAGGCUCAGCAUCACACAGCUUGAUUCAGCACCUUUGCUCAUAGCGCGCACACAUCAACUGCAGCACAGAUCAUAGGAGGAGUGCAGUAAUGAGACAGAGCUCAGCGUUUAUUGCUUCUCUGUGUGUGUGUGUGUUCGUGUUGAGCAAAUGUGUGCAAGGUUGGUCUAGUGCGUGUUUGUAGGAGAAAAAGAAAUAACGGGAGAGAGGGAGGCACAGAGAUAGAGAUAGAGAGAGAAGGGAGAGGGGGGGGGGGGGAGAGAGGACGUGUGCUGGUGAGAGCUGGGUGGAAGGAUGUCUCCUCGUGUUUGAACUGCCUCAAACGCUCAGAGGGAGAGUCGAGGCAAGGAUUCAGCAGAGGCAGAGAAACAGACGUCUCACUGGGGGACGCAUCUUGUUCAUCACCUGCAGGGGAGCAGAGACGCUUUGGCAAUGCCUGCUGAAGUGAAAGAGGAGCAGAUUGCAGAGGGGCCUCCUCCACUGUCUUCGUCGCAGGAGGCGAAAGAGGCGAUUCUGGACAACCCGACUACCAACGAUGAACUCGAUACGCCCACCUCGAUCGCCUCCGCCAUGACCUCGACCAAUGAGAGCUCCACGGAGACCGACACGCCGCAGCAGACAGACACUGAGGAGUCCAAGCCCGUGGAACAAGAGGGCGAACAGGCCCCCAGUGACACCCAGGAACCCUCAGAGACACACCGGGAGGACUUCCAGACAUCUGACACGACCGAUCCCAAUGCCCCAACUCCAGAUGUUCAGGAUGAAAAUCCUACUGAGCAACCGAUUCCCGCCGCAAACAUUGAACCCGUCGAGCCUCUUACGCCGACCACGCCGACCAGCAGCACGACCACGGCGCCCUCUCAGCCUCCGGCUGUGCAGAAGCCUGAGGGGCAUCAGCCAAUGAACCGGGACAGGCAGAGCAGAGUGUACACCCUCCCUGACAGCUACCGGGGCGUCGGCGGGGAGGUGUGCGCGGGCUACGGAAGCCUGUCCCGCACCAGCGUCCAUGGCUACUGGCCUGCCAAGAGCUUCCAGCCCGGGGCCCACUACACCUUGCCCUUCCUCCGGGACAGCUACGGCCCGGCAGGCCUCAGCAGCCAGGCGGAGGAGGACGGCCUCAGCGAACGGGGAGAAAACCCCGUGGACGUGAAGACGGGCCGCCCGGCUAACAGUUACCCAACACUGGGGGGGAUCCACCAGUUCAGGCCGAUCACCACUAUGGAGCUCCUCAGAGAGCCCUCCAGAACCAGGUACGAGGGUGGAACAUUAGAUUGCGCCUUAUUGAUCCCUCAGGGGCGACUGUGUAAGCAGAUUUCAAGUAUGUUUUUUUUGGUUUCCAUGGUACCUAGAUGGGGUCAAA